RNAcentral lists this ribosomal RNA (387 nucleotides) under uncultured bacterium. RNAcentral describes it as "bacterial SSU rRNA". It matches the Rfam family "Bacterial small subunit ribosomal RNA", at positions 28 to 418 of the family's 1533-position model. The record is from RNAcentral.
GAUGAACGCUGGCGGCGUGCCUAACACAUGCAAGUCGGACGGGAGUGGACGCAAGUUUGCUCCAGUGGCGCACGGGUGAGUAACACGUAGCUGACCUGUCCUGGAGCGGGGGAUAACGCCGCGAAAGCGGCGCUAAGCCCGCCUAAGCUCACGGUCUUUAGAGGACUGGGAGAAAACCGAAAGGUACUUCAGGAGGGGGCUGCGGCCCAUCAGGUAGUUGGUGGGGUAAGAGCCUACCAAGCCGACGACGGGUAGGGGGUCUGAGAGGGUGGUCCCCCACACUGGGACUGAGACACGGCCCAGACUCCUACGGGAGGCAGCAGUGAGGAAUAUUGGUCAAUGGCCGCAAGGCUGAACCAGCGACGCCGCGUGGGCGAUGAAGGCCUU